This 356-nucleotide long non-coding RNA is filed under the name Brassica napus (rape). RNAcentral describes it as "long non-coding RNA (BNAP_LNC022240)". The record is from RNAcentral. Lineage: Eukaryota; Viridiplantae; Streptophyta; Magnoliopsida; Brassicales; Brassicaceae.
GCUUCACGGCUGAGUUUGUAAACAAUGUUAUCAAUUGUUUGCUUCACGGCUGAGUUUCUAAACAAUGUUAUCAUUUGUUUGCUUCACGGCUGAGAUACUUUAAUACGUUAAGUCUGAGUUACAUAAAACAUAGGCUGACUUACAAAACAUUACUAAACAAAGUAGUAGUAGCAGCAAAGUAACGACAUUCCAACCCCACAAACAAACACAUUCCUCAAACACCAACCCUGAAUCAUACAUUCUUCUCCUUUUCCCUCAGAUGUCGUCUUCAUUACUUCAAUCUCUUUCUCCAACCGAGCAACGCUAAGUCUGAAUUCCGAGAUGUCUUUGUUCAUGCCACUUAUCAGUGACUUAAU